UAGGGGGCAAGCGUUAUCCGGAUUUACUGGGUGUAAAGGGAGCGUAGGUGGCAAGGCAAGUCAGAUGUGAAAGCCCGGGGCUCAACCACGGUACUGCAUUUGAAACUGUCUAGCUAGAGUGCAGGAGAGGUAAGUGGAAUUCCUAGUGUAGCGGUGAAAUGCGUAGAUAUUAGGAGGAACACCAGUGGCGAAGGCGGCUUACUGGACUGUAACUGACACUGAGGCUCGAAAGCGUGGGGAGCA
Molecule: ribosomal RNA, 243 nt
Filed under: uncultured bacterium
Lineage: Bacteria
Description: partial 16S ribosomal RNA
Rfam family: Bacterial small subunit ribosomal RNA
Source: RNAcentral